UUAAAUUGAAGAGUUUGAUCAUGGCUCAGAUUGAACGCUGGCGGCAGGCCUAACACAUGCAAGUCGAACGGUAACAGGAAUCAGCUUGCUGAUUCGCUGACGAGUGGCGGACGGGUGAGUAAUGUC
Molecule: ribosomal RNA, 126 nt
Filed under: Escherichia coli
Lineage: Bacteria; Pseudomonadati; Pseudomonadota; Gammaproteobacteria; Enterobacterales; Enterobacteriaceae
Description: partial 16S ribosomal RNA
Rfam family: Bacterial small subunit ribosomal RNA
Source: RNAcentral